AACAAAAACAUGUCCUUUAGUUUAUUUAUUUAAGGUCUGGCCUGCCCACUGAAAUUAUUUAAAGGGCCGCAGUAAUUUGACUGUGCAAAGGUAGCAUAAUCAUUAGUUUUUUAAUUGAAAGCUUGUAUGAAGGGUUGGACGAGGUAAAUUCUGUCUCUAUUUAAUUUAUAAUAAAAUUUAAUUUUUAAGUUAAAAAGCUUAAAUAUAUUUAAAAGACGAGAAGACCCUAUAGAUCUUUAUAUUAAAUUUAUUAAUUUUAAUAUAGAAUUUUUUCUUUUUUAAUAAAUUUAUUAUUUUAUUGGGGUAAUAAAAAGAUUAAAAUAAUUCUUUUUGAAUAUUUUCAUUAAUUUAUGUUUAUAUGAUCCAAUUUUUUUGAUUAAAAGAUUAAGUUACCUUAGGGAUAACAGCGUAAUUUUUUUAGAGAGUUCAUAUCGAUAAAAAAGUUUGCGACCUCGAUGUUG
Molecule: ribosomal RNA, 461 nt
Filed under: Prodaticus servillianus
Lineage: Eukaryota; Metazoa; Arthropoda; Insecta; Coleoptera; Dytiscidae
Description: partial 16S ribosomal RNA
Rfam family: Bacterial large subunit ribosomal RNA
Source: RNAcentral